Molecule: RNA transcript, 7583 nt
Organism: Bombus pyrosoma
Lineage: Eukaryota; Metazoa; Arthropoda; Insecta; Hymenoptera; Apidae
Gene: Dop1R2
Gene name: dopamine receptor 2
Exons: 5
Source: RefSeq, a predicted model, not a curated record
CCAGUCCGCUCCUCUCAAACCGCGAAACACGUCCCGGCGCCCUCGAGGACGAGAAUCGCGAGUGGCCAGCUCUCUCUUUCUUUCCCUCUCCCUCUCUGUCUCUAUGUUUUUCCAUUGAUUCUUUUACAUAUUUUUUUCUUACUACAAUUAACCGUGAAAGUAUACCUGUGAAGAGUAAUUCUCGAAGGAGCUCCUGUAUCGCGCGUUCAUCCGUAUCUCCGGAAGUUGUCUCUUGGUAUCAUGAUCCUCUAUCGCUCGUACGGGCCCCCUCUCCCCCGACAAAGACGACGGCAACGAAAGGAUCACGACGACGAGCACGACGAUCCUGACGUUCCGUUCGUCGACGAGAUUCAGCGAAGCGUAGGGCCACCGUAAGUGCGUGUCGUACAGAGGAAGACAAUCUUGAGUCACCGGAACCGCCGUGUGCCACAGUAAUUAACGCGUCUUCGAAGUGCUAAUAUCUAUACACAUGUCUCCGUGUUUCGUUCGACGUCCCGAUUCAGUGUUCCCCUCGAAGAGGAGAAGAAACUUUCGAAAGAUCGUGGAUACCGUGACAGUCGUUUCUGCCGAAGCACAAUAGAUGCCUUUGUUCCAGAGGAAGUUGCAAGUAGGAAGACUUAUCGGAGAAGUGUUUCUGGAAGGAAGCUAUCAGGUUUGCAACUUCUCCGAUACGAAGUGUGCAACCUUCGGGGUUAAUUAGCCAUCCAACGGAUCGACCUUUUCGUUACGACCCCGUUGUGAAUGUUAGUGCCACUUCGUUAAUUGCAAACAAAUAGACCGUUAUCAACAUCGUCUUGCAAAUUGCAUACGACGAUCUGUUGGAAUCGUAGUUAGUCGGUUUGUCGAGACGUAAAUUUACUCUUCCGGUAGAUUGGUGGAAAUUAACCCGCGCGCGUGCAAGUUUCGAGUCGACGAGGGUACGUUACUCGAGGACACGACCACGGCUGUUCACUGAGUAUUAAUCGUUAACGAGUCACCGGCGGCUGGCUGUUCGUUAGCUACUUAUACUUCGGUCUUUGAAGGAAUUAAAGUUUCUGUCGGUGUUGAACGGUGUCUGAUAGCUGUCCCCGGCGAUUUUAACGAGAACUCGAGGCUCGUUUUACACAGGGACACGUAUCUUGUAUUCCGGUCGAUCUAUCGGUAAACGGCGAUCGAACCUCGAUUAAUUAAAAGUUUUCCACUCGCCCGCGAAAUUCCGUUGUUUUCUCGUUAUACGAAGCGUUCCGCUUGCGAAGAGGGUCGGAGGAUUUGUUCAGAGGCGAAGCCAAUAAAUGGAUCGAAGAUUCUUCCGCUGGAGUUUCUAUCGAAGAGGUAAACGCCGGAUCGAAUUGAACAUAGAUCUGGUAUAAGUUGAUGAAACGAAUCGUUCGGAAAUUCGGGGAGGAGAGGGAGAGGGGGAGAAGGAGGAAACUCUUGCUAGCCAUCCAAUUAAGCCGCCUACGAUGCGUUCGAAAGAAACUAAAAGAAAGAAAAAACAGAUCAAUUCGAAACCGACCGGUAUCGCCGCUUGCCGUCAAAAUAGCUAAACUUCGUUAACGAGAAACUCUGUUUCCUCGAUUCCCAAGCCGGGACCCGGGCUUUGUGGAACGACCGCCCGGAGAAUCAGCUUUCUUAAGCUUGAAAAGGGUAAACGUCGCCGCCAUCCUUUCGUGAGAUCCUAUUUACCCGAAGGAAUCCCCGGUACGCGGCUAAAAUUGCCUCUCCCCGAGCUUUACGUCAAUUAUCUUUCGAAGAUUGCCGGCGUGGAACGACGCGUAGAAGCGUUGCUCGUGCGAGUCGCGCGCGCGACCGACCGAGAGCCGACACAGACGCGCGCGCUCUGAAUUUUCCAGCUGAAUCUUGUCGACGGAUAAUCCGGACAUUUCCUUCCGUCCCUCGUUCGUUUCCGUUCGAAACGACUCCCUGGCGCGCCUUUAUAUCGAGAACGCAUUCUUAUUCCCGCCCCCACCCCCCAUCAAAGAGAAUCGCCCUUAUCACCUUUCUUCCUCUGCUCGUCGUUUCGUUGUUCGUCCGAUCGUACACGCACGUUCCAUAAUAUUCGACGUUUGUUAAAGGGGGGACAAACGUUCGCGACGCAUCGUUCAACGAACUGGUCGGAAAGAGGAUGGGAAAACGCACGAGACGCUGAACAAGGAAAACAUCGAGGGAGAAGCACGAAACUGUUUCGAACGUGGAGGAAUCGAUUGGCUACGAUCGAUAUCACGGAAGAGAAAGAAGCUUCGUUCUCUUCGUGGUGAAGCUCUUUCCGCUUGUCUCUCCAAGGAACGAUCCGUUAUGGGGCUUAUACGGGUUUAUACAUGGUGUAUUUAAUCGCGGAAUCAAGACGCUGAUUCAGUUUCUCGUUUAUCGCGUUAUUCUGGUGAAUGAUCGACCAUGGGAGAAGAGUAAACCGGAACACGGAUGUAUGCAGCCGGUUUCACGUGUUAAUUAAGGAUCAUCCAUUUACGGUGACUGCAGUGUUAGCGUUUUCUCUGUGCUAAGUAAACUGUUCCAAAUUGAACGUAUCCACGGAUGGGAGGACCGAUUAGCUCGGACUGAAUUAUUUUCGGGUUUAAUUGUGAGUCUCUUAAUUGGACCCUACGGAACGAUAAAUCCGUGUGGCAGAAGUAACGGCUGCAGGCUACCACACGGAAGGCUCUGUACGCUCAACGAAGCUGUAAACGCGUGUGUGGGAUUCCGACGUCAGAUUCUCCGAAAGAUGCGACGACUCGUUAAAGCCGUCUAGUCGAAGCGACGAAACCUUCCACGUCGCAAUCGUUCGAAUCCCAACAACUACAAUCGUAUUCCUGAAACGAACUAAGGAAACACAGAUAAUCAACGCAAAGAAACUCGCGAAGAAGACAGUUGAAGGAGGAUAGACAUCGUAAAUAUCCGUGUAUACAUCAACGGAUCUCUCGUUAGAUUUAAAAAAUGAGAGAUAAGACGAAAAUCGGGAGGAGGAAACGCGGCGUCGACGGAUCGACGACCUGAUAGGACCGGGUCUCUGAUUGAAAGAGCGCGCGAAGCUGGCUGCACGUGCCACGAAAAAUGAACGAAAGCGCGGUCUACCUGCUCGGAUCGGAAGAAGAGGCAAACGUAUCGAGUAAUCAAUUGAAUCGAAGUUUUUACAACGCGAGUUUUCCGCCCCAGAACCGUACCUACGAAGAUCUUUGGAACCUUGCCACCGAUAGGGCCGGUCUAGCGAUACUCCUGUUCCUGUUCUCGGUCGCCACCGUGUUCGGUAACACGCUGGUUAUUCUGGCGGUGGUGAGGGAGAGGUAUCUCCACACGGCGACCAAUUAUUUCGUCACGUCAUUGGCGUUUGCGGACUGUUUGGUCGGACUAGUGGUGAUGCCGUUCAGCGCGAUUUACGAGGUGCUGGAGAACCGUUGGCUGUUCACCACGGACUGGUGCGACGUCUGGCGUUCGCUGGACGUCCUCUUCUCGACCGCGUCGAUCUUAAAUCUCUGCGUUAUCAGCUUGGAUCGUUACUGGGCGAUCACCGAUCCGUUCACCUAUCCGAGCAAAAUGAGCAGGAAACGUGCCGCCAUCCUGAUAGCCAUCGUGUGGAUCUGCUCGAGCGCGAUCUCCUUUCCAGCCAUCGCGUGGUGGAGGGCUGUCCGUACGGAGGAAGUGCCAGAGGACAAGUGUCCGUUCACCGAGCACCUGGGUUAUCUGAUCUUCUCGUCGACCAUCAGUUUCUACUUACCCCUGUUCGUGAUGGUGUUCACCUAUUACAAGAUCUACCGGGCUGCCGUGUUCCAGACCAAGAGCCUCAAGCUCGGUACCAAACAAGUUAUAAUGGCCUCAGGUGAAUUGGAGCUCACUCUGAGGAUACAUCGAGGAGGCGGGACAAAUACCGACGCCAGGCACCUGUUUCGCACCGCUUCGAGCACGCCCGAAGAUCUUCAGGAUCUCGAAGAGCCUCUGACAACCAUGCACAACAACUGUUUAACCAGAGUGCCCUCGACAAGGAUCAAUAAGCAGCAUCGGGGAAACAAUUUCUCCUUGUCGCGCAAGCUGGCCAAGUUCGCCAAGGAGAAAAAGGCAGCCAAGACUUUGGGCAUCGUGAUGGGUGUCUUCAUCAUCUGUUGGCUGCCGUUCUUCGUUGUCAAUCUCUGGUCAGGCUUUUGCUCGCAGUGCAUAUGGAAAGAGAAAAUCGUAUUCGCCGCGGUCACAUGGUUGGGUUGGAUCAACAGCGGUAUGAAUCCGGUGAUAUACGCCUGCUGGAGCAGAGACUUUCGAAGAGCAUUCGUGAGGAUCCUGUGUGUCUGCUGCCCGGGGCGAGUAAGGCGGCGAUAUCAGCCGGCAUUCAGAUGUAAACCAAGUCAAAGAUUCGCAUCGGGAAGGUACUACUCCGCUUAUUCGCUCCACCACGUGCGAAGCAGCCGAGAGAGUUCGUGCGAGCAAACCUACAUUUAACGAUGGGAUAUCGCCGCGGUGUGGAUUGUCGUCAAUUGUUGGACACCUCCUCGAAACCUUUCUAGCUUCCUCCUUGUCCUUCCAUUCGUUACCAUCGAAGCAUCGUCCUCCCUGAGACAAAUCCUAACCCAGUAAUCGCCCGGAGACACUUGGUACAGAGAUUAUCGACGAAGGACUCUGUCACCAUCCCAUAUAACAUAGUCUCGUACGUUUCCGGAGCGAAUACCAGCGGCGAGGCGAGCCGCGUCAGCUACAGUAGCGUUAGUCAAAGCAGCGACGGUGGUGCUGGAACUAUACUACCCAGCGGCGGGAUGUGACGACACACGGGGGCCCGGUCUGGGCCUCGACGAGAACGCGCCAUCCGUUUCCGAGACACGUGAUUGUAGGUUCGCUUAUGGAUAGAUUUUUUCAUCAUUUUGUCUCGGAAGUACUCGUUUCAAAAGUAGAAUCGAGCCAAGAGACGAGGAUAGCCAAGACGACCGUUCACCGGCCCCCGUGUGUGCUUCCGAUAGGACAAACCGUGGAUCUCGUCGUGGAUAAGGAUAAGCGACGUGUUUCCGUUCCUCCUUAUCGUCGAGCUUCAUCGGUGACGAAAUGUGGACCACGAAGAAGCGUGCCGCGCGACCCGCAACAAUUUCCUGUAUAGAAAAAGCAACGGUAAUCUCGCGUUUUGUACCUCCGGCGAAACAUCUGGUGAAAAUUGAAUUGCGGGGAAGGACAGUACCGUAUAUCGAGUCAGAUGGCUCGUUACCGUUUUUACGUUCGGAUACCUUCGAUACUUUGUAGCCUUUUAACGAACCUCCGUACGCGGAAUCGUAAAUCGAGCAGCGGCGAUGCGCUAUUGGUUACACGGCGAGUUUAGCGUAUCUCCCCUCGAUUCCUCGAUUCCUCCAUCUUAAUGCACCAAGCAAAUCGUAUACCGUUCCCUUUCGAUACAAUUAAAUCCGUUACCGUUCCCUGGAGACCGUGAGCCGAAUUUCGAGAAAGAAAAUACACGAUAAUACACUUUGUUCCUGUGUGCGUUGCGCGUUUAGAAGACUGACGAUUGAACGUUUGGAAACGUUUAACGUAAUAUGGGAUUGAUAUACUUUGAAUUUCCAGGGACCGGCGAUCUCUCGUGUCGAUGCAUUGACAGGCGACUGUAUGAACGAAAAGUAUGCACAAAGUAAAAUAACGAGGAACGAAUAUUACCGCUCGAAGCUGCCUGUCGAUCAACAAAGAGAAAACAAAGGGAACACGUGAAAAAAAAAACAGAAUACUUGCGAAAAAUUAACAGCGUUCCCUCGGAAAAAAAUUGUAUUUUCCUGCGAAAAUUCAAUAUGCGCGUACCUACUGUACCGCUCUUCCAGUCACGUUGAUCGCUAAAUACACACACCCGAAUAGAUUCGGUGUGGUAACCACUGUCUAGAUUGAACGAAAGUUAAUUUAAAGUUUCCUCGACCGACACAAGACUGGCAAAAUCGAAAAGUAUUUUCCUCGAAUUGACGAACAAGAUUCUGCGAAACUAAACUGAUACCAAGGCCAAUGUAACUUAAUCGAUGAAUAAAAUAACAAAGUUAUAGUCUGGUUAAUGUUUUAAAAAAGCACGAUUUUAAAUUCACAAACGUUGAUCGCCAAUUUCAAAAAGUAAAGACAAAUCUGUUAAAUAGUUUGAUUCAGUUGGAGAUUAAUCGGCCGAAUUAAGCUCUGUAUACAUAUUGUUAAUUUAAAUACUCCGAAGUCGUUUCCUCCAUUCAUAAAACCUAUUCAACGUAAUACAUCGUAUCGGACAAUCUUUAUUCGAUAGACAGAUACCUCUACUUUCACUGGCGGAUAUUUUUGCAGAGCGAUUAUUUAUUUUACAAAGAUUAUCUUAACAUAGGCAUCCGUUGUUGUACAUAAAACGAUUAUCGUGCAAUUGUAAAUAUUAGAACACUGUGAAAUCAACUUAUGUGGAACGUAUAUAAUGUAUGAGAAACUGUAACAAUGCGUGUAUCGGUAGGAAUAUAUACAAACGUUUUCUCGGGUAAAAAAUAUAUUCAAUAUUAAUUCAAUAAUCCUAUCUCACUGAAGAAAAAAAAAAUUAACUACGAAGAAAAUCAGAUCGAACAUUCGCUAUUCAUGAAAAGUUAUGUCAUCUGCUUGUUUCAGCUGUGACAUAUUAACUCUUUGCAUGUAAAACUAAAAAUCUGAAUAUUGUACGAUACAAUAGAAAAAAGAAAAGAUUAAAAAAGUGUUAAUGUUAAAAUAAACAAAUGUUUUACCUCGGAUUUCAAACCAACGAAAACUAGUCUAGUCUUGUACCAUCCAAUAGUGAUUAUGCUGUUUUCUUGUAAAUCCAUUAAGUUCCGUUUUCGAAGCGACAUUUUAUAUUAUACUUAUUUUCAUUUAUAAACUUUCAAAAUCACGGUAUAAGAACAUCUGCUAACAUAAUCCCUUUUUCAUUUUCGAAGAUUCGUUCGCACGAAGAAAAUAGCGCGUAAUUGGUUGGCGUCUUAACAAGUCUAGUCAUUGUACAUACUGUACUGUAAGUUCGUUGAAGCUCGAAAAUUUAAUAAAAAAAAAAAAGAUGAAACAAAUAAUCAGAAAAGAAAAUCGUAAAUCCCGCUCUAAAAGUGUUUUUCACAGCCUUGAAUAGAGGGCGCUUUGUACAUAUUAGAAAUUUGAGCGUCAAAUUCAAACGCUAUUCGUAACUUUCUACUUGUAAAACUCACGUCAUUGAUUCAAGCAUAUACAUAUUCUUUGCCGUGUUAAAAGUGCAUGAAAUAAUAGCAAAUUCUUAAUUAAUCCGUAAUACUUUCAUUGGAAAACACUGUUUUCACAAAGUAUUUCUAUAUGUAUACGCAACUUUUGUUAUUCAAAAACUGGAUGCUACGUUUAAUAGUACACUAAAAGAACUUGCAUUUCACAAACUGUUACCAAAUCAUCAUACAUAUACGCAUGAACGAAGAGAUUGAACGAAUGUGAAUGCGUAUGCAUUACGCGUUAUAUUGUAUAGACUAAGAAUUCCCUGGCCUGUACACAUAAUAUAGAGAAUGUGAUGAAUCGUCGUCAUAUUUAAUUUUUAAGAGAUAGAUAACGUGCAUACUCGAAAAGUAUCAGUUCAUAUACACGAGUCACAUUAUCAAGACCACUUAAGUACCUUCGAAAAAAAUGUGUCUAUCAAUAUGCUGUCCUUUAUAAUAAAAUGGAAAUGAGAAAGA